GAUUCGUCACACUAUCAUUAACUGAAUCCAUAGGUUAAUGAGGCGAACCGGGGGAACUGAAACAUCUAAGUACCCCGAGGAAAAGAAAUCAACCGAGAUUCCCCCAGUAGCGGCGAGCGAACGGGGAGCAGCCCAGAGCCUGAAUCAGUGUGUGUGUUAGUGGAAGCGUCUGGAAAGGCGCGCGAUACAGGGUGACAGCCCCGUACACAAAAAUGCACAUGCUGUGAGCUCGAUGAGUAGGGCGGGACACGUGGUAUCCUGUCUGAAUAUGGGGGGACCAUCCUCCAAGGCUAAAUACUCCUGACUGACCGAUAGUGAACCAGUACCGUGAGGGAAAGGCGAAAAGAACCCCGGCGAGGGGAGUGAAAAAGAACCUGAAACCGUGUACGUACAAGCAGUGGGAGCCUCUUUAUGGGGUGACUGCGUACCUUUUGUAUAAUGGGUCAGCGACUUAUAUUCUGUAGCAAGGUUAACCGAAUAGGGGAGCCGAAGGGAAACCGAGUCUUAACUGGGCGUUAAGUUGCAGGGUAUAGACCCGAAACCCGGUGAUCUAGCCAUGGGCAGGUUGAAGGUUGGGUAACACUAACUGGAGGACCGAACCGACUAAUGUUGAAAAAUUAGCGGAUGACUUGUGGCUGGGGGUGAAAGGCCAAUCAAACCGGGAGAUAGCUGGUUCUCCCCGAAAGCUAUUUAGGUAGCGCCUCGUGAAUUCAUCUCCGGGGGUAGAGCACUGUUUCGGCAAGGGGGUCAUCCCGACUUACCAACCCGAUGCAAACUGCGAAUACCGGAGAAUGUUAUCACGGGAGACACACGGCGGGUGCUAACGUCCGUCGUGAAGAGGGAAACAACCCAGACCGCCAGCUAAGGUCCCAAAGUCAUGGUUAAGUGGGAAACGAUGUGGGAAGGCCCAGACAGCCAGGAUGUUGGCUUAGAAGCAGCCAUCAUUUAAAGAAAGCGUAAUAGCUCACUGGUCGAGUCGGCCUGCGCGGAAGAUGUAACGGGGCUAAACCAUG
RNAcentral lists this ribosomal RNA (1013 nucleotides) under Escherichia coli. Its description in RNAcentral is "partial 23S ribosomal RNA". It matches the Rfam family "Bacterial large subunit ribosomal RNA", at positions 137 to 1191 of the family's 2925-position model. The record is from RNAcentral. Lineage: Bacteria; Pseudomonadati; Pseudomonadota; Gammaproteobacteria; Enterobacterales; Enterobacteriaceae.